RNAcentral lists this transfer RNA (63 nucleotides) under Cryptalaus yamato. RNAcentral's name for it is "tRNA-Phe". The record is from RNAcentral. Lineage: Eukaryota; Metazoa; Arthropoda; Insecta; Coleoptera; Elateridae.
ACUUUAAUAGCUUAUAUAGAGCAUGACACUGAAGAUGUUAGGGAGACUUUUUGUCUUAGAGUA